RNAcentral lists this ribosomal RNA (406 nucleotides) under uncultured bacterium. RNAcentral's name for it is "partial 16S ribosomal RNA". It matches the Rfam family "Bacterial small subunit ribosomal RNA", at positions 29 to 526 of the family's 1533-position model. The record is from RNAcentral.
AUUGAACGCUGGCGGCAGGCCUAACACAUGCAAGUCGAACGAGUGGCGGACGGGUGAGUAACGUAUGGGAAACUGCCUGAUGGAGGGGGAUAACUACUGGAAACGGUAGCUAAUACCGCAUACCAUCAGAUGUGCCCAGAUGGGAUUAGCUUGUUGGUGGGGUAACGGCUCAACAAGGCGACGAUCCAUAGCUGGUCUGAGAGGAUGACAAGAGAAACUGGAACUGAGACACGGGCCAGACUCCUACGGGAGGGAGCAGUGGGGAAUAGUGCACAAGUGGCGAAAGCCUGAUGCAGCCAUGCCGCGUGUAUGAAGAAGGCCGUAGGGUUGUAAAGUACUUUCAGCGGGGAGGCGUUACCCGCAGAAUAAGCACCGGCUAAGUCCGUGCCAGCAGCCGCGGUAAUUC